Molecule: long non-coding RNA, 614 nt
Organism: Hippoglossus stenolepis (Pacific halibut)
Lineage: Eukaryota; Metazoa; Chordata; Actinopteri; Pleuronectiformes; Pleuronectidae
Exons: 3
Source: RefSeq, a predicted model, not a curated record
UAUGACGUGAACAUGAUACGAGAUGUUGAGUUUCCUUCUCUUAGUGGCAGGGGGUUGAAGGACACAUGAACUUUUAGAAGCUUGUAUUAAUUAACUUUAAUGGAGUUGAUUGGUCUGAGUGUAGAUCAGGAAAUGCUCAAGCUGCAAAAAUACAUUUUUAUUCAACGUUUGUUUAUGGCUAUGCAGGUUUAUUGGUGGAUUUACAAAUGACAUAAACCAAUAUUACAUGAAAGGAACUUUAUUAUUGUACUUGUAAGUACAGAAAGAUCAUUUCACUGUGUUCUGCUGUAAACUGAGCGCAGGACGAGAAGGAAAUAGACCAGACCUUGAACAUCUAGAAGAGCAGCGUGGCCUGAACCACAACUGAGCCGCAGCCGGCCCGGUGUAACAUGGGCGCGGACAAUUCAAAGCAAGUUGGACCCUCACACACAAAAGGUCAGGACCACAGACUGAGAGCAGAGUCUCCAGGGUCCAGCUGUGUGUCUCUGAAGAGUGACUGGUCCAUGGGACAUCCUCCACUCUUCAGUAAUGAACCUGGACCCUCACACACAGAAGAGAGGAAGAGGAGUCAUGUUUCUGAGGAGGAGCAGUCGUCCUGCUGUGCUUCGUGUCAG